Ribosomal RNA from Lepisosteus oculatus (spotted gar), 119 nucleotides. Lineage: Eukaryota; Metazoa; Chordata; Actinopteri; Semionotiformes; Lepisosteidae. The record is from Ensembl.
ACUAGCAGCCAUAUCACCCUGCAACUCACAACUGGCAACCCACUGAAUCUAAGCAGGUGUGAGCCUGAUCAGUACCUGGAUGGGAGACCUCCUGGGAAAAACUAAGGUUGCUGCUGGAA